UUUUAAUUUGAAUCUAAUUCCUAAUCCCAGUUUAAAUCAAACUCUAAAAAAAAGCUUCAAUAAACCAAAACUCACGAAAUUAAAUUUGAAAAGGAUCACGCAUAAGGAAUUAUAGAAGAAAAGAAAUCGUAGAAGGUUAGGAGAAUCAAGGUUGUCCGACAAUCAUAACCUAGGCAAAGGUGGGAAUAUAAAAAAGGGAAGAAGGAAAAUAGGAAGAAGAAAAGCUUGAGAAGAAGGAAA
This 240-nucleotide long non-coding RNA is filed under the name Theobroma cacao (cacao). RNAcentral's name for it is "long non-coding RNA (TCAC_LNC004359)". The record is from RNAcentral. Lineage: Eukaryota; Viridiplantae; Streptophyta; Magnoliopsida; Malvales; Malvaceae.